GACGAACGCUGGCGGCGUGCUUAACACAUGCAAGUCGAACGGUGAAGGGACUGGUUUUGCUGGUCCUGGAUGAGUGGCGAACGGGUGAGUAACACGUGAGUAACCUGCCCCCUUCUUCUGGAUAACCGCAUGAAAGUGUGGCUAAUACGGGAUAUUCUGGGUCUGUCGCAUGGUGGGCCUGGGAAAGAUUGCGCCUUUUUUGGUGUUUUUGGUGGGGGAUGGGCUCGCGGCCUAUCAGCUUGUUGGUGGGGUGAUGGCCUACCAAGGCGGUGACGGGUAGCCGGCCUGGGAGGGUGGACGGGCACACUGGGACUGAGACACGGCCCAGACUCCUACGGGAGGCAGCAGUGGGGAAUAUUGCACAAUGGGCGCAAGCCUGAUGCAGCGACGCCGCGUGAGGGAUGGAGGCCUUUGGGUUGUGAACCUCUUUCGCCAGUGAAGCAGGCCUGCCUCUUUUUGUGGGUGGGUUGACGGUAGCUGGAUAAGAAGCGCCGGCUAACUACGUG
This 506-nucleotide ribosomal RNA is filed under the name uncultured bacterium. RNAcentral describes it as "partial 16S ribosomal RNA". It matches the Rfam family "Bacterial small subunit ribosomal RNA", at positions 28 to 507 of the family's 1533-position model. The record is from RNAcentral.